Long non-coding RNA from Alosa sapidissima (American shad), 754 nucleotides. RefSeq lists it as uncharacterized. NCBI's taxonomy places the organism in Eukaryota, Metazoa, Chordata, Actinopteri, Clupeiformes, Clupeidae. The transcript is spliced from 2 exons. The record is from RefSeq and is a predicted model, not a curated record.
AAAAAAUGAUUCAGAGGUUAGUAGAUAAAACUUAAAAUGAAGAACAUUUUCGACAUAAAAAAAUUAAGUUUGCUACUUGUACAUGUAUAGGUGAGUUGACAAUUUAUUUUAAGGAGUUUGUAAUACUGAAAAAGAAAGAAAGCUGUCUCAACUUAUUCAUAUAUGGAUUUUCAACACACAGUCUUGCUUUCACCUAACAAUAGAAAGUAUUAAGUUCCUGAAACUUGUAAAUCUCGUGACCAAACUUAUAAAGCUAAUAACACGAUUGAACGUUCAGGACCUUCCAGACCACGCCUGAGAAGUAACAGCAAUUAUGGCACAGGAUCCUGUAGCCUGCAUGGAACAUCACAGGUACGUGCAAAGUAGUCUAGCCUACUAUUUUUGUGUUUGUUUUAAAAGCAACAGCUAUCAAACAACGGCACACAGUGCAUCAAAAUCUUUGUCACGUGACACUCAAAUGAAAUUAACGCUACAGCUUGCCCUUUUGCUAAUUUGAAUAUUUGAAAAGAUGGAUUUUAGCUAUCUACAGACAGUAGCUAUCGUGUCUUCCAAGCUAGCUGCUGCUUGCACGGUAAUUAAACCAUUUGAAAAGAUGACUUUGGUAGCUGGCGUCUUCAAAGUUACCUGCAGCCUGCCCUUUGAUCAUUUGGAGUUAGUAAAGAUAAAUGACGAAUUCAGACGGAUCUCUACAUUCAUUCAUUGCACAACUGGACCAGUUGCCAUUGCUUUAAAAAUAAACAAUGCUUUCAGAAAA